Molecule: ribosomal RNA, 382 nt
Filed under: uncultured eukaryote
Lineage: Eukaryota
Description: partial 18S ribosomal RNA
Rfam family: Eukaryotic small subunit ribosomal RNA
Source: RNAcentral
UGUAAGCGUAUACCAAAGUUGUUGCAGUUAAAACGCUCGUAGUCGGAAUUUGGCAGUUCCGGAUGUGUGCACGUCGUGUGCGCACUUCGCGGGGAUUGCUUUUGUGGUCUUGCGUAGGAUGAGGCACUUUUAUUAGUGAACGUCCUCACGCAACCACUUUUUACUGUGAGAAAAUCAGAGUGCUCAAAGCAGGCAUUUGCCGUGAAUGUAUUAGCAUGGAAUAAUAGAAUAGGACUUGGUUCUAUUUUGUUGGUUUGUUGGGACUGAGUAAUGAUUAAGAGGGACAGUUGGGGGCAUUUGUAUUUCGGUGCUAGAGGUGAAAUUCUUAGAUUACCGAAAGACAAACUGCUGCGAAAGCGUCUGCCAAGGAUGUUUACAUUGA